Molecule: transfer RNA, 83 nt
Filed under: Bacteroidia bacterium
Lineage: Bacteria; Pseudomonadati; Bacteroidota; Bacteroidia
Description: tRNA-Leu
Rfam family: tRNA
About the family: Transfer RNA (tRNA) molecules are approximately 80 nucleotides in length. Their secondary structure includes four short double-helical elements and three loops (D, anti-codon, and T loops).
Source: RNAcentral
GCGGAUAUGUCGUAAUUGGUAGCCGAGCCGGACUUAGGAUCCGGUGCCGCAAGGCGUAAGAGUUCGACUCUCUUUAUCCGCAC